UGCCAGCAGCCGCGGUAACACGGAGGGUGCAAGCGUUGUUCGGAAUUACUGGGCGUAAAGCGCGCGUAGGCGGCUAUUUAAGUCAGGUGUGAAAGCCCGGGGCUCAACCCCGGAUGGUCACUUGAAACAGCAAGACUUGAGUACUGGAGAGGAAAGCGGAAUUCCUGGUGUAGAGGUGAAAUUCGUAGAUAUCAGGAGGAACACCGAUGGCGAAGGCAGCUUUCUGGACAGAUACUGACGCUGAGGCGCGAAGGCGUGGGUAGCGAACGGGAUUAGAUA
This 279-nucleotide ribosomal RNA is filed under the name uncultured bacterium. RNAcentral describes it as "partial 16S ribosomal RNA". It matches the Rfam family "Bacterial small subunit ribosomal RNA", at positions 506 to 784 of the family's 1533-position model. The record is from RNAcentral.